Molecule: ribosomal RNA, 1245 nt
Filed under: metagenome
Description: bacterial LSU rRNA
Rfam family: Bacterial large subunit ribosomal RNA
Source: RNAcentral
UGAGUACGAGAUGCUACGGCGUCGAAGCAGUCUAGGUCAUACUUCCAAGAAAAGCUUGCACUCUCAUAAACAAAGAAUGCCUGUACCAUAACCGACACAGGUGGGUAGGUAGAGUAUACUAAGGGGCGCGAGAUAACUCUCUCUAAGGAACUCGGCAAAAUGACUCCGUAACUUCGGGAGAAGGAGUGCCUUAUUUUUAAGGUUGCAAUAACAAGAUCCAAGCAACUGUUUACCAAAAACACAGGUCUCCGCUAAGUCGUAAGACGAUGUAUGGGGGCUGACGCCUGCCCAGUGCCAGAAGGUUAAAGAAGUUGGUUAGCAUUUGCGAAGCUGAUAACUGAAGCCCUGGUGAACGGCGGCCGUAACGAUAACGGUCCUAAGGUAGCGAAAUUCCUUGUCGGGUAAGUUCCGACCCGCACGAAAGGCGUAAUGAUUUGGAUACUGUCUCGGAGAGGGGCUCGGUGAAAUAGACUUGUCUGUGAAGAUGCGGACUACCUGCACCUGGACAGAAAGACCCUAUGAAGCUUUACUGUAACUUGAGAUUGAAAUUGGACUUUAUUUGCGCAGUAUAGGUGGGAGGCGUUGAGAAUAAUCUUGCGGGAUUAUCGGAGCCAUCAGUGAGAUACCACUCUUGUAAUGUUAGAUUUCUAACUUUGUAUCAUUAUCUGGUCAAAGAACAGUUUCAGGCGGGCAGUUUGACUGGGGCGGUCGCCUCCCAAAGGGUAACGGAGGCGCACAAAGGUUUCCUCUGAACGGGUAGAAAUCGUAUCUAGAGUGUAAAGGCAUAAGGAAGCUUGACUGUGAGACCUACAAGUCGAGCAGGGACGAAAGUCGGUCUUAGUGAUCUGACGGUGUUGAGUGGAAAGGCCGUCACUCAACGGAUAAAAGUUACUCAAAGGAUAACAGGCUGAUCUCCCCCAAGAGUUCACAUCGACGGGGAGGUUUGGCACCUCGAUGUCGGCUCAUCGCAUCCUGGGGCGGUAGUACGUCCCAAGGGUUGGGCUGUUCGCCCAUGAAAGCGGUACGCGAGCUGGGUUCAGAACGUCGUGAGACAGUUCGGUCCAUAUCCGGUGUAGGCGUUAGAAUAUUGAAAGGAGCCUUCUCUAGUACGAGAGGACCGAGAAGGACAUACCUCUGGUGUGCCAGUUAUCGUGCCAACGGUAAACGCUGGGUAGCUAUGUAUGGAGUGGAUAACCGCUGAAAGCAUCUAAGUGGGAAGCCCACCUUAAGAUAAGUAUUCUCAUC